Small nuclear RNA from Daphnia carinata, 139 nucleotides. RefSeq annotates it as U4 spliceosomal RNA. Lineage: Eukaryota; Metazoa; Arthropoda; Branchiopoda; Diplostraca; Daphniidae. The transcript has a single exon. The record is from RefSeq and is a predicted model, not a curated record.
AUAUCAACGUCCGUGCAGAAUUGGCGAGAGAAAGCUCCCGAGGUGUGAUUAUUGCUAGUUGAAAACUUUAACCAAUGCCCCGCCACGACGAAGUGAAACAUUCUUUGUUGUCGGCAAUUUUUGACAGCUCCAUCAGGAG